AUUUGAGCAGACUUGAAGAGGAGAGAAACUGAGACACGCAGGGCUUGUGGUCCCUGACAAGGAGGACCCUGAGGGCAACCACACCUUGCCAUGCAGAGCACCUGGCUUCUCAUCUGCCAAGCUCACUCUGACCCGGCUGCAGGAAGGGAAGGAGCCAACCCCGGACUCAAGACUCAAGGGGACCAGAACCAGGGAGAUGAGACAUACCAGGGCUGGGCAGCUGUGGGGGUCCUUCCAGAGAGGAGCUGAGAUACGCCUACCUGGAGGGGCCCCUGGGCCUGGAGGGGCUCCUCAGUGUGACUGGGUGAAGUGUUUUCAGAGGACCAGGGUUGAGGUUGGGGGCAUCUCAUCCAGACCCUGCCGGCAUCUGCCCCAGAACCCAAGGGCCCCUCCUUCCUCCCUCCUCGAUGGAAAUGCUGGGGAUGUCCUCAGUCACCCUCUGAGCACUCACACAUCACCCCUUAUUUGGAAAUUUUUCUCACUCUAACCUUCCUUCCUGCUGCACCUUCUGCCCCAUCCCCAGGCUCUGGCCUCUCUCUCUCCUCUUCUACCCUUUAGCAGGUAAUGACUCAGUUCCCACUGAGGAGCCAGCUGUAGGUGAGAGUCUGGGCUCUCGGUGAGGUUGGGAGAAGGAAAAGGCUUAUGGGCCAGGGGGUGGGAGGGAGAAUGGG
This 671-nucleotide small RNA is filed under the name Homo sapiens (human). Its description in RNAcentral is "HLA complex group 27 (ENSG00000220890.3)". Lineage: Eukaryota; Metazoa; Chordata; Mammalia; Primates; Hominidae. The record is from RNAcentral.